UUCAUGACUGUCCGGUCCAGAUGACUGACAGAUUGAUUCACUCUGUGAUUUCCAGCUUUUGAUGAUUAACUUCUUGACAGCAGUCUUAUCUUUUAUUUAAUACUAUUAUGAUGAUGAUAACAAAGGGCUGCACGUAGGGCAGCAUGGCAGUUGGAGUGGGUGCUGCCUCCUUUCCGCCUGUGAUAACUCAGUGUUAACGGCAAAACAGAAUGCAGCUUUACAUGAGGAGAAAGAGGAACAACUGCUGAAUCCGAUUAGUUGGGUUACUGCAGUAGGUCACUGCUAUAUGCCAGGAGGUUCUUAUAUCAUCAUUAUGAAUAAUUCUUAUUUCAGAGAAAAAGGGAAAAGGUAA
This 352-nucleotide long non-coding RNA is filed under the name Coturnix japonica (Japanese quail). Its description in RNAcentral is "lncRNA (ENSCJPG00005002539.1)". The record is from RNAcentral. Lineage: Eukaryota; Metazoa; Chordata; Aves; Galliformes; Phasianidae.